This is a non-coding RNA of Salmo salar (Atlantic salmon), 58 nucleotides long. The record is from Rfam. Lineage: Eukaryota; Metazoa; Chordata; Actinopteri; Salmoniformes; Salmonidae.
UGGCUCAGUUGGUAGAGCAUGGUGUUUGCAACGCCAGCGCUGUGGGUUCGAUUCCCAC